UACGGGGGGAGCAAGCGUUGUUCGGAUUUACUGGGCGUAAAGGGCGCGUAGGCGGCCUCUGCAAGUCGACUGUGAAAUCUCCGGGCUUAACCCGGAAAGGUCAGCCGAUACUGCAGGGCUAGAGUGCAGAAGGGGCAACUGGAAUUCUCGGUGUAGCGGUGAAAUGCGCAGAUAUCAGGAGGAACACCGGUGGCGAAAGCGGUUCUCUGGGCAUUACCUGACGCUGAGGAGCGAAAGUGUGGGGAGCGAACAGG
RNAcentral lists this ribosomal RNA (254 nucleotides) under uncultured bacterium. Its description in RNAcentral is "partial 16S ribosomal RNA". It matches the Rfam family "Bacterial small subunit ribosomal RNA", at positions 524 to 776 of the family's 1533-position model. The record is from RNAcentral.